Molecule: ribosomal RNA, 108 nt
Filed under: Myotis brandtii (Brandt's bat)
Lineage: Eukaryota; Metazoa; Chordata; Mammalia; Chiroptera; Vespertilionidae
Source: RNAcentral
GUCUAUGGCCAUACCACCCUGAACGCGCCCGAUCUCGUCUGAUCUCGGAAGCUAAGCAUGGUCGGGCCUGGUUAGUACUUGGAUGGGAGAGAGAGGGAGAGAGAGAGA